This 253-nucleotide ribosomal RNA is filed under the name uncultured bacterium. RNAcentral's name for it is "partial 16S ribosomal RNA". It matches the Rfam family "Bacterial small subunit ribosomal RNA", at positions 524 to 776 of the family's 1533-position model. The record is from RNAcentral.
UACAGAGGUGGCAAGCGUUGUUCGGAAUUACUGGGCGUAAAGGGCGAGUAGGCGGCGUUCUAAGUCAGACGUGAAAUCCCCCGGCUUAACCUGGGAACUGCGUCUGAUACUGGGAGGCUAGAGUAUGGGAGAGGGAUGUGGAAUUCCAGGUGUAGCGGUGAAAUGCGUAGAUAUCUGGAGGAACACCGGUGGCGAAGGCGGCAUCCUGGACCAUAACUGACGCUGAUCCGCGAAAGCUAGGGGAGCAAACGGG